UAAUAGCCCCGAUAAAAGCGACAUCCUUUUUUGGAAUGGAGAAACCUCAUAGGUUUUCAAAACCUAUGAGGUUUAGCUUUGGAGAAAAAAGAUACAGCGGAUAGCGGGAAAUAGC
RNAcentral lists this small RNA (115 nucleotides) under Chryseobacterium sp. 8AT. RNAcentral describes it as "Flavo-1". It matches the Rfam family "Flavo-1 RNA". Lineage: Bacteria; Pseudomonadati; Bacteroidota; Flavobacteriia; Flavobacteriales; Weeksellaceae. The record is from RNAcentral.